This 434-nucleotide ribosomal RNA is filed under the name uncultured Clostridium sp. RNAcentral describes it as "partial 16S ribosomal RNA". It matches the Rfam family "Bacterial small subunit ribosomal RNA", at positions 341 to 792 of the family's 1533-position model. Lineage: Bacteria; Bacillati; Bacillota; Clostridia; Eubacteriales; Clostridiaceae. The record is from RNAcentral.
ACGGGAGGCAGCAGUGGGGAAUAUUGCACAAUGGGGGAAACCCUGAUGCAGCGACGCCGCGUGAGUGAAGAAGUAUUUCGGUAUGUAAAGCUCUAUCAGCAGGGAAGAAAAUGACGGUACCUGACUAAGAAGCCCCGGCUAACUACGUGCCAGCAGCCGCGGUAAUACGUAGGGGGCAAGCGUUAUCCGGAUUUACUGGGUGUAAAGGGAGCGUAGGUGGCCAUGCAAGUCAGAUGUGAAAACCCGGGGCUCAACCCCGUGACUGCAUUUGAAACUGCGUGGCUGGAGUACAGGAGAGGUAAGCGGAAUUCCUAGUGGAGCGGUGAAAUGCGUAGAUAUUAGGAGGAACACCAGUGGCGAAAGCGGCUUACUGGACUGAAACUGACACUGAGGCUCGAAAGCGUGGGGAGCAAACAGGAUUAGAUACCCUGGUA